GGAGGGUGCGAGCGUUAAUCGGAAUUACUGGGCGUAAAGCGCGCGCAGGCGGCUGGGUCAGUCGGAUGUGAAAGCCCCGGGCUUAACCUGGGAAUUGCAUUCGAUACUGCCCGGCUAGAGUAUGGGAGAGGGAAGUGGAAUUUCCGGUGUAGCGGCGAAAUGCGUAGAUAUCGGAAGGAACACCAGUGGCGAAGGCGGCUUCCUGGCCCAAUACUGACGCUCAGGUGCGAAAGCGUGGGGAGCGAACAGGGAUUAGAUACCCUGGUAGUCCACGCUGUAAACGAUGAGAACUAGAUGUUGGGAGGGUUAGCCUCUCAGUGUCGCAGCUAACGCGUUAAGUUCUCGCCUGGGAGUACGACCGCAAGGUUG
Molecule: ribosomal RNA, 369 nt
Filed under: uncultured organism
Description: partial 16S ribosomal RNA
Rfam family: Bacterial small subunit ribosomal RNA
Source: RNAcentral